This 559-nucleotide long non-coding RNA is filed under the name Homo sapiens (human). RNAcentral describes it as "HSALNT0064607". Lineage: Eukaryota; Metazoa; Chordata; Mammalia; Primates; Hominidae. The record is from RNAcentral.
GAAUGCUUUUGGUUGCAAGAAAUGGAAGCUGCAACUUAAAUAAUAAGAAAUUUAUUCUUGUUUUUGCCAAAUGUAAGACACCAAUUGUAACACACAUCAUUAUUUUAUGAAGUACUACAAAAAACAUGUCAAUUAAACUGACACAGUGCUCUCUAACAACUUAAAAUUUUAUUUUAUACCUAUUGCAAGAUAAUUGAAAAAUGUAUUUAGAUGUAUAUUUUAUAUAUCACAUAUAUAUUACAAAUACAUAUAUAUACACCACCAUAAAUCAAAAUAUGUUGCUUCGUGGUUUUAAAAUGUCUUCACUUUCAGAGUCUGACUCUUCAAACUCACUUUUAAAAUUCAGAGCCAUAAAUAUUCAUGCUUUUUCCUCCCAAUAUCAUCCUCUGUAAUAUCAAAAGUAUUGGUGAUGCAACAUUUCUUAAAAGAUUGACCUACUAUUGCCACUUGGAUUUCUUUCUAAGCACAGACGAUUAUUAUGCAAAUUUUUUUUUUUUUUUUUUUUUUUUUUUUUUUUUUUUUUGAGACGGAGUCUCGCUCUGUCGCCCAGGCUGGAGUG